AACGAACGCUGGCGGCAGGCCUAACACAUGCAAGUCGAACGCUCCGCAAGGGGAGUGGCGCACGGGUGAGUAACACGUGGGAACCUACCUUCUGGUACGGAACAACCAAGGGAAACUUUGGCUAAGACCGUAUACGACCUCCGGGUGAAAGAUUGAUCGCCGGAAGAGGGGCCCGCGUCCGAUUAGGUAGUUGGUGAGGUAACGGCUCACCAAGCCUUCGAUCGGUAGCUGGUCUGAGAGGAUGACCAGCCACACUGGGACUGAGACACGGCCCAGACUCCUACGGGAGGCAGCAGUGGGGAAUCUUGCGCAAUGGGCGAAAGCCUGACGCAGCGACGCCGCGUGA
This 346-nucleotide ribosomal RNA is filed under the name uncultured bacterium. RNAcentral's name for it is "bacterial SSU rRNA". It matches the Rfam family "Bacterial small subunit ribosomal RNA", at positions 29 to 404 of the family's 1533-position model. The record is from RNAcentral.